ACACUUUAAGUAAUGGAUGUCUUGGUUCUCAUAACGAUGAAGGACGCAGCA
Molecule: ribosomal RNA, 51 nt
Filed under: Cryptosporidium baileyi
Lineage: Eukaryota; Apicomplexa; Conoidasida; Eucoccidiorida; Cryptosporidiidae
Description: partial 5.8S ribosomal RNA
Rfam family: 5.8S ribosomal RNA
About the family: 5.8S ribosomal RNA (5.8S rRNA) is a component of the large subunit of the eukaryotic ribosome. It is transcribed by RNA polymerase I as part of the 45S precursor that also contains 18S and 28S rRNA.
Source: RNAcentral